Molecule: ribosomal RNA, 484 nt
Filed under: uncultured bacterium
Lineage: Bacteria
Description: partial 16S ribosomal RNA
Rfam family: Bacterial small subunit ribosomal RNA
Source: RNAcentral
AUUGAACGCUGGCGGCAGGCCUAACACAUGCAAGUCGAGCGGAUGAACGGUGCUUGCUCCUGGUUUCAGCGUCGGACUGGUGUGUAAUUCCUAUGUAUCUCCCUUUUUUUUUUUUAUUACGUCCUGACACGGGCGCUCAUACCGCAUACGUCCUUACGGUGUACGUGGGUGAUCUUCGGACCUCUCGCUCUCUCAUGAGUCUAGGUCGGAUUAGCUAGUUGGUGGGGUAAAGGCCUACCAAGGCGACGAUCCGUAACUGGUCUGAGAGGAUGAUCAGUCACACUGGAAGUGAGACACGGUACAGACUACUACGGGAGGCAGCAGUGGGGAAUAUUGGACAAUGGGCGAAAGCAUGAUACAGCAAUGCCGCGUGUGAGAAGAAGGUCUUCGGAUUGUAAAGCACUUUAAGUUGGGAGGAAGGGCAGUAAGUUAAUACCUAGCUGUUAUGACGGUAACAAAAGAAUAAGCACCGGCUAACUACGUG